This 22-nucleotide microRNA is filed under the name Oryza sativa (Asian cultivated rice). RNAcentral describes it as "osa-miR6255". Lineage: Eukaryota; Viridiplantae; Streptophyta; Magnoliopsida; Poales; Poaceae. The record is from miRBase by way of RNAcentral.
UGGGAAAAAUGGGCAGUUGAGU